AUAAAGGCACAUCGAUCAUCCUGCUCUCACCACUCAGCAGCACUGCCACCUGGGGAGCAAGCCUUCAACCCGGAAGCCUUUGGCAGUGUCUUCAUUUAGCUCUGUAAGAGGCAAUGGCCUACCGUAAAUACCAACACCUACAACAGAUCUUGCAGACCAUGAAGCUCUAUGCUUUGACUAGUGUGGCCGAGCAGUGACAGGCAUGGAUGCUCAUCUCCUUAGCACUGUGAUUACACGUGUGAUUCACCUCCACACCAGGCACCAUCUUAUGGUAGUUCUGUGGCACCAAACUUUGGUCCGAGUGCUUGAGAAACAAACUCUUUGCUGACUGAGGUUCCCAGCCCAGACAAGCAUCUUUAUAAGACAAAUACAAAAGGAAGUUUGAGAGGCUGAGAGGGGUGGGGUGGUACCCCACAGUACAUGGUGGGGUCUUCCAGUGUAUGUUGGGAUCAGAGACACAGCCACAUCCCAAAGAUGCCCCUGGCCCUUGAGGCUGGAAAGAGGAGGGCGAGUCCCCACCCACUCCUGGUGUCCCACAGGAUAUGCAGCCCUGCUGGACAUUGGCUUCUGCAUCAGUGAUAAUGAGUUCUUGCUUCUGGCUUUCAGUAGUACGGGCAAGUGGCUUUCAGUUACCUGAAUCCCAUGGUUCCCAAACCUGCCAAUGCUGUGUCCCUUUAGUACAGUUCCCCAUGUUGUGGUGAUCCCCCAACCAUAAAAUUAUUUCGUUGCUACUUCAUAACUGCAGUUUUGCUACUUUUAUGAGUUGUUAUGUAAAUAUCUGAUAUGCAGGAUAUCUGAUAUGCCCCUGCAAGAGGACCAUUUGAUCCCCCAAAGAGUCGUGACCCCCCCAGGUUGAGAACCACUGCCUUAAAGCUGCCAUGUGAAUGGUAGCUCUUCAUCGUAGUCAUAGAUCUGCCAACCCCCGAGCAGUUUCUGUUUCCUUGUCAAGAGGUCGGAUGAAAUCAAAUGAGCCAGGACCAGGUGCCCAGCUCCGGGCGCUUGCUGGCUGUGCAGCCUCUCACAGCUCUUGUCCUCUCUGUCAGCUUUCUUACUUAGGAAAUGAAUGUAACCAUCUUCCCAUAUGAUUUGUAGGUAGGUUUGAGUCAGAUGCUGUUCUUGUGACAGGGACUGAAUAUCUGAAAGAAAGGGAAGGUUUACUUGGGGGGGGGGCUGAGGGGACAGUUCCGUCACAGUUGAGAAGCGGCAAUAGCAAGACUGUGAGGUAGCUAGCCACAUGACACCCAUGGCUGCAAAGUGGCAAGAGAUGGAGAUGCUGGUGUUCAACUCGUUUUCUCCUUUCGAUUCAAUCCAGGAUCCUGUCCCAGGGAAUGGUGCUGCACGCAGCCCAGAGGGUGGGUCU
Molecule: long non-coding RNA, 1360 nt
Filed under: Mus pahari (shrew mouse)
Lineage: Eukaryota; Metazoa; Chordata; Mammalia; Rodentia; Muridae
Description: predicted gene 7538 (MGP_PahariEiJ_G0005327.1)
Source: RNAcentral